UCUUCAUCCUAUAUUCUCACAAUCAAUAAAUACAUGAUGAGACCUUGUAGCUCUCUCCCUCUCUCCCUCUCUCUCUCUCUCUCUCAAUGUUAUGUUGCUGAAUGCUGAUUCAUGGGAAGUUCAAUGCUCUCUUUUGUUUUCUUGGACAUGCUGAGAGGCAUGAAGACUGAGUUUACAAUAUACAUAGUGGUGAUGAGCAAUUGCUUAUCAAAUUGACAAGGUGGUGAUGGAGCUUUGUUGCUCAAAAUUUCAUUCACCAAGCUGCAAAUCUUACAGGGUUUAGGAGGAUGAUGAUGAUGACGACGACGAUGAAGAGGAAUAUGUUGGGCUUAGAAUACUGAUGAAGAGGAAUGUUUGGUUUAAAGAUGGUGAUGAAGAGGAACGUUGUGAAGGGGAAUACGUUGAAUUUAGUUGAGGGAGGUAGGUGUAUAAUAUUGUAGAGUUGUUUUUAUUUAGUGGGUGAAUGUUCCAUUAAAAAUUGUCCUUUAAUAUAAUUUUUUUUAAGAUAUAAUUAUAAUAAAAAAAGUAAAAAUUAGAGGAUCCACAAAAAUUAAUGUAUUAA
Long non-coding RNA from Camellia sinensis, 562 nucleotides. RefSeq lists it as uncharacterized. The record is from RefSeq and is a predicted model, not a curated record. NCBI's taxonomy places the organism in Eukaryota, Viridiplantae, Streptophyta, Magnoliopsida, Ericales, Theaceae.